Molecule: ribosomal RNA, 407 nt
Filed under: uncultured bacterium
Lineage: Bacteria
Description: partial 16S ribosomal RNA
Rfam family: Bacterial small subunit ribosomal RNA
Source: RNAcentral
GACGAACGCUGGCGGCGUGCCUAAUACAUGCAAGUCGAGCGAAGCGGCGGACGGGUGAGUAACACGUAAGGAACUACCGAUAAGCGGGGGACAACAUCCGGAAACGGGUGCUAAUACCGCAUACUUAUCGAUGGCCUUGCGGUGCAUUAGCUCGUUGGUGGGGUAACGGCCUACCAAGGCAAUGGUGCAUAGCCGACCUGGGAGGGGAAUCGGCCACAUUGGGACUGAGACACGGCCCAAACUCCUACGGGAGGCAGCCGUAGGGAAUCUUCCGCAAUGGGCGCAAGCCUGACGAGGCAACGCCGCGUGAGUGAAGAAGGUUUCCGGAUCGUAAAGCUCUGUUGUUAAGGAAGCGGUACUUAACCAGAAAGGGACGGCUAACUACGUGCCAGCAGCCGCGGUAAUUC